This 253-nucleotide ribosomal RNA is filed under the name uncultured bacterium. RNAcentral describes it as "partial 16S ribosomal RNA". It matches the Rfam family "Bacterial small subunit ribosomal RNA", at positions 524 to 776 of the family's 1533-position model. The record is from RNAcentral.
UACAGAGGUCCCAAGCGUUGUUCGGAUUCACUGGGCGUAAAGGGUGCGUAGGUGGCAGGGUAAGUUUGAUGUGAAAUCUCCGAGCUUAACUCGGAAACUGCAUUGAAUACUAUCUUGCUUGAGGGUUGGAGGGGGGACUGGAAUUCUCGGUGUAGCAGUGAAAUGCGUAGAUAUCGAGAGGAACACCAGUGGCGAAGGCGAGUCCCUGGACAACUCCUGACACUGAGGCACGAAAGCUAGGGGAGCAAACAGG